CCUACGGGUGGCUGCAGUGGGGAAUCUUGCACAAUGGGGGAAACCCUGAUGCAGCAACGCCGCGUGAGUGAUGACGGCCUUCGGGUUGUAAAGCUCUGUCUUCAGGGACGAUAAUGACGGUACCUGAGGAGGAAGCCACGGCUAACUACUUGCCAGCAGCCGCGGUAAUACGUAGGUCGCGCGCGUUGUCCGGGUUUACUGGGCGUAAAGGGAGCGUAGGCGGACUUUUAAGUGAGAUGUGAAAGACUCGGGCUCAACUUGAGUGCUGCAUUUCAAACUGGAAGACUAGAGUGCAGGAGAGGAGAAUGGAAGUCCAAGUGUAGCGGUGAAAUGCGUAGAGAUUAGGAAGAACACCAGUGGCGAAGGUGAUUCUCUGGACUGUAACUGACGCUGAGGCUCGAAAGCAUGGGGAGCGAACAGGAUUAGAUACCCCAGUAGUC
Molecule: ribosomal RNA, 440 nt
Filed under: uncultured bacterium
Lineage: Bacteria
Description: partial 16S ribosomal RNA
Rfam family: Bacterial small subunit ribosomal RNA
Source: RNAcentral